RNAcentral lists this ribosomal RNA (687 nucleotides) under uncultured Bacteroidales bacterium. RNAcentral describes it as "bacterial SSU rRNA". It matches the Rfam family "Bacterial small subunit ribosomal RNA", at positions 56 to 732 of the family's 1533-position model. The record is from RNAcentral. Lineage: Bacteria; Pseudomonadati; Bacteroidota; Bacteroidia; Bacteroidales.
UGCAAGUCGAGGGGCAGCAUGGUCUUAGCUUGCUAAGGCCGAUGGCGACCGGCGCACGGGUGAGUAACACGUAUCCAACCUGCCGUCUACUCUUGGACAGCCUUCUGAAAGGAAGAUUAAUACAAGAUGGCAUCAUGAGUCCGCAUGUUCACAUGAUUAAAGGUAUUCCGGUAGACGAUGGGGAUGCGUUCCAUUAGAUAGUAGGCGGGGUAACGGCCCACCUAGUCUUCGAUGGAUAGGGGUUCUGAGAGGAAGGUCCCCCACAUUGGAACUGAGACACGGUCCAAACUCCUACGGGAGGCAGCAGUGAGGAAUAUUGGUCAAUGGGCGAGAGCCUGAACCAGCCAAGUAGCGUGAAGGAUGACUGCCCUAUGGGUUGUAAACUUCUUUUAUAAAGGAAUAAAGUCGGGUAUGCAUACCCGUUUGCAUGUACUUUAUGAAUAAGGAUCGGCUAACUCCGUGCCAGCAGCCGCGGUAAUACGGAGGAUCCGAGCGUUAUCCGGAUUUAUUGGGUUUAAAGGGAGCGUAGAUGGAUGUUUAAGUCAGUUGUGAAAGUUUGCGGCUCAACCGUAAAAUUGCAGUUGAUACUGGAUAUCUUGAGUGCAGUUGAGGCAGGCGGAAUUCGUGGUGUAGCGGUGAAAUGCUUAGAUAUCACGAAGAACUCCGAUUGCGAAGGCAGCCUGCUAA